Carassius auratus (goldfish) is the source of this 619-nucleotide non-coding RNA. The record is from the annotation of a RefSeq genome assembly. NCBI's taxonomy places the organism in Eukaryota, Metazoa, Chordata, Actinopteri, Cypriniformes, Cyprinidae.
CAAGACACAACAACAACAAUGAACAACAUCAUCAUCCUCAUCUGGACUCUCACACUGUUUGCUCAAGAGUGUAGAGGACAGUACACUGUAACUCAGAGUCCAUCAGUAAUAACAGCAGCUCAAGGACAAAACGUCAGAAUUAACUGUAAAACCAGCAGUAGAGUGUAUAAUGGUAAUGAGUUAGCCUGGUACUUACAGAAACCUGGAGAAGCUCCUAAACUCCUCAUAUAUCUUAUAUCAAGCCGUUACACUGGAACUCCUUCUAGAUUCAGUGGCAGUGGAUCUGACACUGAUUUCACUCUGACCAUCAGUGGAGUCCAGACUGAAGAUACAGGAGAUUAUUACUGUCAGAGUGAACACUCUAUCAGUAGUAGCUGGGUGUUCACACAGUGAUAAAGAGUCGUACAAAAACCUCCAUCAGUCAGAGUCACAGUGACUGCACUGAUACAGCUGAGAGACACUGCAGCUGAUGAUGAGAGGAUGUUUUACAUACAAAUUGGUGUAGCAAAUUUAACAAAACUUUAAAUGUCUAAACUAAGAUAAAAAUAAUGAAAUAUACACUGUGUGCAGAAUUAUUAGGCAAAUUAGUAUUUUGACCACAUCAUCCUCUUUAUGCAUG